ACGUAGGGGGCGAGCGUUGUCCGGAUUUAUUGGGCGUAAAGAGCUCGUAGGCGGUUUGGCAAGUCGGGUGUGAAAACUCCGGGCUCAACUCGGAGACGCCACUCGAUACUGCCAUGACUCGAGUCCGGUAGGGGAGUGCGGAAUUCCUGGUGUAGCGGUGAAAUGCGCAGAUAUCAGGAGGAACACCGGUGGCGAAGGCGGCACUCUGGGCCGGUACUGACGCUGAGGAGCGAAAGCGUGGGGAGCGAACAGGA
RNAcentral lists this ribosomal RNA (254 nucleotides) under uncultured prokaryote. RNAcentral's name for it is "partial 16S ribosomal RNA". It matches the Rfam family "Bacterial small subunit ribosomal RNA", at positions 525 to 777 of the family's 1533-position model. The record is from RNAcentral.